UUUCCGUAGGUGAACCUGCGGCGGGAUCAUUAAUGAGUGAGGGCUUCGGUCCGACCUCCAACCCUUUUGUGAACCACCUCGUUGCUUCGGGGGCGACCCUGCCGUUCGCGGCGUGGGCCCCCCGGAGCCCAUCAAACCCUGCGUAACUGAGUCGUCGGAGUUUAAACAAAUUAAACAAAACUUUCAACAACGGAUCUCUUGGUUCGGGCAUCGAUGAAGAACGCAGC
Molecule: unclassified non-coding RNA, 227 nt
Filed under: uncultured fungus
Lineage: Eukaryota; Fungi
Description: sequence contains ITS1, 5.8S rRNA gene
Rfam family: 5.8S ribosomal RNA (bases 179-227)
Source: RNAcentral